AACGUACGCUGGCGGCACGCCUAACACAUGCAAGUCGAACGAAGUAGCAAUACUUAGUGGCAGACGGGUGAGUAACAUGUAGGUAUCUGCCCUUUGGCCUGGAAUAACACGAGGAAACUUGUGCUAAUACCGGAUAAGUCUUUACGGAGAAAGCUUUAUGCACCAUUGGAUGAGCCUGCACUUGAUUAGUUUGUUGGUGGGGUAAUGGCCUACCAAGACUGUGAUCAAUAGCUGAUUUGAGAGGAUGAUCAGCCACAUUGGGACUGAGACACGGCCCAAACUCCUACGGGAGGCAGCAGUGGGGAAUCUUGCACAAUGGAGGAAACUCUGAUGCAGCGAUGCCGCGUGAGUGAAGAAGGCCCUUGGGUUGUAAAGCUCUUUCGUCGGGGAAGAAAAUGACUGUACCCGAAUAAGAAGGUCCGGCUAACCUCGUGCCAGCAGCCGCGGUAAUACGAAGGGACCUAGCGUAGUUCGGAAUUACUGGGCUUAAAGAGUUCGUAGGUGGUUGAAAAAGUUAGUGGUGAAAUCCCAGAGCUUAACUCUGGAACUGCCAUUAAAACUUUUCAGCUAGAGUAUGAUAGAGGAAAGCAGAAUUUCUAGUGUAGAGGUGAAAUUCGUAGAUAUUAGAAAGAAUACCAAUUGCGAAGGCAGCUUUCUGGAUCAUUACUGACACUGAGGAACGAAAGCAUGGGUAGCGAAGAGGAUUAGAUACCCUCGUAGUCCAUGCCGUAAACGAUGUGUGUUAGACGUUGGAAAUUUAUUUUCAGUGUCGCAGGGAAACCGAUAAACACACCGCCUGGGGAGUACGACCGCAAGGUUAAAACUCAAAUGAAUUGACGGGGACCCGCACAAGUAGUGGAGCAUGUGGUUUAAUUCGAAGAUACGCGCAGAACCUUACCAACACUUGACAUGUUCGUCGCGACUCUAAGAGAUUAGAGUUUUCGGUUCGGCCGGACGAAACACAGGUGCUGCAUGGCUGUCGUCAGCUCGUGUCGUGAGAUGUUGGGUUAAGUCCCGCAACGAGCGCAACCCUCACUUUUAGUUGCCAUCAUUAAGUUGGGCACUCUGAAAGAACUGCCAGUGAUAAGCUGGAGGAAGGUGGGGAUGACGUCAAGUCCUCAUGGCCCUUACGUGUUGGGCUACACACGUGCUACAAUGGUAUCUACAACAGGAAGCAAGACUGCGAAGUUAAGCAAAUCCCUAAAAGAUACCUCAGUUCGGAUUGCACUCUGCAACUCGAGUGCAUGAAGCUGGAAUUACUAGUAAUCGUGGAUCAGCGUGCCACGGUGAAUGCGUUCCCGGGUCU
This 1306-nucleotide ribosomal RNA is filed under the name uncultured bacterium. RNAcentral describes it as "bacterial SSU rRNA". It matches the Rfam family "Bacterial small subunit ribosomal RNA", at positions 28 to 1381 of the family's 1533-position model. The record is from RNAcentral.